Molecule: ribosomal RNA, 254 nt
Filed under: uncultured bacterium
Lineage: Bacteria
Description: partial 16S ribosomal RNA
Rfam family: Bacterial small subunit ribosomal RNA
Source: RNAcentral
CACGUAGGGGGCGAGCGUUGUCCGGAUUUAUUGGGCGUAAAGAGCUCGUAGGCGGCUCGGUAAGUCAGGUGUGAAAACUCUAGGCUCAACCUAGAGACGCCACCUGAUACUGCUGUGGCUAGAGUCCGGUAGGGGAGCAUGGAAUUCCUGGUGUAGCGGUGAAAUGCGCAGAUAUCAGGAGGAACACCGGUGGCGAAGGCGGCGACCUGGGUGGAUACUGACGCUGAGGCGCGAAAGCGUGGGGAGCAAACAGG